AGCGAACGUUUGCGGCGGGCCUAACACAUGCAAGUCGAACGCACUAGCAAUAGUGAGUGGCGCACGGGUGCGUAACACGUGGGUAAUCAACCCUUCAGCCUGGGAUAACGACUCGAAAGGGUCGCUAAUACCGGAUACGGCGCGAGAGGCUUCGGCUUCUCACGAGAAAGCCACGCAAGGGGCACUGAAGGACGAGCCUGCGGCCCAUCAGCUAGUUGGUGAGGUAAGAGCUCACCAAGGCUAAGACGGGUAGCUGGUCUGAGAGGAUGAUCAGCCACACUGGAACUGAGACACGGUCCAGACUCCUACGGGAGGCAGCAGUGGGGAAUAUUGCGCAAUGGGCGAAAGCCUGACGCAGCCACGCCGCGUGAGCGAUGAAGGCCUU
RNAcentral lists this ribosomal RNA (385 nucleotides) under uncultured bacterium. Its description in RNAcentral is "bacterial SSU rRNA". It matches the Rfam family "Bacterial small subunit ribosomal RNA", at positions 29 to 418 of the family's 1533-position model. The record is from RNAcentral.